Molecule: non-coding RNA, 1263 nt
Organism: Coturnix japonica (Japanese quail)
Lineage: Eukaryota; Metazoa; Chordata; Aves; Galliformes; Phasianidae
Source: RefSeq, a predicted model, not a curated record
CAAUGCAGCAGAAGGCCAGGGGAAGGUCAGAGGAUGAGCAGUACGAACAAUCCCUUCCCUGGGCUCAAGGGGGCAUUUGUGAUCUACAGCAGCUCUGCAGGCAGAGGCUGUGCCGAUGGUGACCGCCCGGCUUCGCUCCGCCUGCAGCUCCUGCCAGCACCGAACCGAAUUCAUCCUCUGGCAGUGCUUUACCUGAGGGUAAACGGAGACAAAUUCCUCUGUGGAUGCCUGCAGCUCCCCAGGAUCUGUACCCGACACAGAAGCAAUCUGCUCUGCAGCCAGGCUGACAGCACAUUCUGGUUCCCAGUUCAGAGACAUCCAACACAGCAGCACCAUUACCAUUCUUGGACCUACUCACCUCUCCAGCACAGAAGGCAUCAGCUGAUCCUGCCCUCCUGAAUGCCAGCAAUAACCACCACCACCCUCUAUGGAAUGGGAGCCAAGACAGGCAGCCGAGUGCCACAUAAAUCACAGCAAAGGAGGAACAGAUCUCUGAAACCCUGCCAGUCGGUGCCCACCUCCAAUUGCAGUCACACACUGCUGGACAAUUCUUUCCCCGUGCAUGCAAAUGUAUUUCCCUUGUCACACCUGUUAGUAAAAUCCAUAACGUUGCCUGAAAUAAUCCAAAGGCAGAAUAACGAGCACUAUAAUGUUAUGAGAGGUGAUGUAUAGGAAGAGCACAGAGCGCCUGUAUGUGUGCCUGGCCCUGCUGCCUGUCCUGCUACAUGUUGAUGCCUGACCUUGAGUGAAUUGCUUAACUUCCCUGUGCCUUCAAUAAAAUUUGUCUUGUAAAACCCAGGUAAUAGCAUUAAACUUAUCUACAUCAGAUGAAGCUUUUGAUGCUUAAUCAAUAAAGAUUUGUAAAAAGCUUCGAGAUUGUCUAAAGAAAAGAGACGUCCCCAAAAUGUUUCAGCACUGGCCAAGGCUGGAAGAUGAGAGCAGUACAAGGUGCCCUGCUGAGAUGUCUGUGCUGAUGUGAGGCCAGGGGCUGCAGCGCUGCAAGAAGAACCACGGUCACAUUAUGGGACAGGACUGCGUGCCUGGGCUGCAAAGGCCUGGGGUGGAACUGGCUGUCAAACUGCAAGUGCCUUACAUCAAGCAAGAGCUUCUACUUCUGACAGGUUUUGGAUCAGCUGCAUCUAAUUUCAGAGAUAGCAAAGAGUGUUUAUUUCUGAAUGCACGUUUCACCCCUCCUUUCCUCGCCUUUGCCCCCUCAAGCUGUAGCAAUUCGCUGCUGUUCAGUAGGGCGGAAAGAAUUAUUUC